CUCAAGUUAGGGAGGUCACGAAGGGAAACUCGGGCCCGAACUUUUAUGAGGGUCUGAGUGAUAAACAAAAGGUUAAACAAUUUAACGUCAUUGAGGGUUUUCUUCGUCUGUUGAUUCCUCUCCAAAAUUGGAACAGAUAUUUUCGUGGCUUCUGUUUUUUU
This 161-nucleotide non-coding RNA is filed under the name Meteorus sp. PSUC_FEM 10030008. The record is from RNAcentral. Lineage: Eukaryota; Metazoa; Arthropoda; Insecta; Hymenoptera; Braconidae.